UGUGUAGGCGGGCUAUUAAGUCAGUGGUGAAAUCUCCGAGCUUAACUUGGAAACUGCCAUUGAUACUAUUAGUCUUGAAUUUUGUUGAGGUAGGCGGAAUAAGUCAUGUAGCGGUGAAAUGCAUAGAUAUGACUUAGAACACCAAUUGCGAAGGCAGCUUGCUAAACAAAUAUUGACGCUGAGGCACGAAAGCGUGGGGAUCAAACA
Molecule: ribosomal RNA, 207 nt
Filed under: uncultured bacterium
Lineage: Bacteria
Description: partial 16S ribosomal RNA
Rfam family: Bacterial small subunit ribosomal RNA
Source: RNAcentral